Molecule: transfer RNA, 66 nt
Filed under: Laotzeus sp. BMNH 846624
Lineage: Eukaryota; Metazoa; Arthropoda; Insecta; Coleoptera; Chrysomelidae
Description: tRNA-Pro
Source: RNAcentral
CAGAUAUUAGUUUAAAAAAAAUUUUAAUUUUGGAGAUUAAGGACAAGGUAAUUUUCUUAUAUCUGA